Molecule: ribosomal RNA, 257 nt
Filed under: uncultured prokaryote
Description: partial 16S ribosomal RNA
Rfam family: Bacterial small subunit ribosomal RNA
Source: RNAcentral
CGGAGGAUCCGAGCGUUAUCCGGAUUUAUUGGGUCUAAAGGGUGCGUAGGUGGAUUGGUAAGUCAGUGGUGAAAGUUUGCAGCUUAACUGUAAAAUUGCCGUUGAAACUGCCGGUCUUGAGUGCAAAUGAGGUAGGCGGAAUGCGUCGUGUAGCGGUGAAAUGCUUAGAUAUGACGCAGAACUCCGAUUGCGAAGGCAGCUUACUGGGAUGCAACUGACGCUGAGGCACGAAAGCGUGGGUAUCAAACAGGAUUAGA